GUGGGGAAUCUUAGACAAUGGGGGCAACCCUGAUCUAGCCAUGCCGCGUGAUCGAUGAAGGCCUUAGGGUUGUAAAGAUCUUUCAGCUGGGAAGAUAAUGACGGUACCAGCAGAAGAAGCCCCGGCUAACUCCGUGCCAGCAGCCGCGGUAAUACGGAGGGGGCUAGCGUUGUUCGGAAUUACUGGGCGUAAAGCGCACGUAGGCGGAUUGGAAAGUUGGGGGUGAAAUCCCGGGGCUCAACCCCGGAACUGCCUUCAAAACUCCCAGUCUGGAGGUCGAGAGAGGUGAGUGGAAUUCCGAGUGUAGAGGUGAAAUUCGUAGAUAUUCGGAGGAACACCAGUGGCGAAGGCGGCUCACUGGACGACUGUUGACGCUGAGGUGCGAAAGCGUGGGGAGCAAACAGGAUUAGAUACCCGUGUAGUCC
RNAcentral lists this ribosomal RNA (425 nucleotides) under uncultured bacterium. RNAcentral describes it as "partial 16S ribosomal RNA". It matches the Rfam family "Bacterial small subunit ribosomal RNA", at positions 354 to 796 of the family's 1533-position model. The record is from RNAcentral.